RNAcentral lists this ribosomal RNA (301 nucleotides) under uncultured bacterium. Its description in RNAcentral is "partial 16S ribosomal RNA". It matches the Rfam family "Bacterial small subunit ribosomal RNA", at positions 509 to 809 of the family's 1533-position model. The record is from RNAcentral.
CAGUCGCCGCGGGAAUACGAAGGGGGCUAGCGUUGUUCGGAAUCACUGGGCGUAAAGCGCACGUAGGCGGACUUUUAAGUCAGGGGUGAAAUCCCAAGGCUCAACCUUGGAACUGCCUUUGAUACUGGAAGUCUUGAGUUCGGGAGAGGUGAGUGGAACUGCGAGUGUAGAGGUGAAAUUCGUAGAUAUUCGCAAGAACACCAGUGGCGAAGGCGGCUCACUGGCCCGAUACUGACGCUGAGGUGCGAAAGCGUGGGGAGCAAACAGGAUUAGAUACCCGCGUAGUCCCUGUCUCUUAUAU